GUAAACGAUGAGUGCUAAGUGUUGGAGGGUUUCCGCCCUUCAGUGCUGCAGCUAACGCAUUAAGCACUCCGCCUGGGGAGUACAACCGCAAGGUUGAAACUCAAAGGAAUUGACGGGGGCCCGCACAAGCGGUGGAGCAUGUGGUUUAAUUCGAAGCAACGCGAAGAACCUUACCAGGUCUUGACAUCCUCUGACAACCCUAGAGAUAGGGCUUUCCCUUCGGGGACAGAGUGACAGGUGGUGCAUGGUUGUCGUCAGCUCGUGUCGUGAGAUGUUGGGUUAAGUCCCGCAACGAGCGCAACCCUUGUCGUUAGUUGCCAUCAUUCAGUUGGGCACUCUAGCGAGACUGCCGGUGACAAACCGGAGGAAGGUGGGGAUGACGUCAAAUCAUCAUGCCCCUUAUGACCUGGGCUACACACGUGCUACAAUGGACGGUACAACGAGCAGCGAACUCGCGAGGGCAAGCGAAUCUCUUAAAGCCGUUCUCAGUUCGGAUUGCAGGCUGCAACUCGCCUGCAUGAAGCCGGAAUCGCUAGUAAUCGUGGAUCAGCAUGCCACGGUGAAUACGUUCCCGGGCCUUGUACACACCGCCCGUCACACCACGAGAGUUUGUAACACCCAAAGUCGGUGCGGUAACCUUUUGGAGCCAGCCGCCUAAGGUGGGAUAGAUGAUUGGGGUG
RNAcentral lists this ribosomal RNA (680 nucleotides) under uncultured Catellicoccus sp. RNAcentral describes it as "bacterial SSU rRNA". It matches the Rfam family "Bacterial small subunit ribosomal RNA", at positions 802 to 1482 of the family's 1533-position model. The record is from RNAcentral. Lineage: Bacteria; Bacillati; Bacillota; Bacilli; Lactobacillales; Enterococcaceae.